This is a long non-coding RNA of Mirounga angustirostris (Northern elephant seal), 4660 nucleotides long. RefSeq lists it as uncharacterized. The transcript has 2 exons. NCBI's taxonomy places the organism in Eukaryota, Metazoa, Chordata, Mammalia, Carnivora, Phocidae. The record is from RefSeq and is a predicted model, not a curated record.
GCAGGCCGAGGGAGAGGGAGAAGCACGCUCCCCGCUGAGCAAGAGCCCGAUGCGGGGCUCGCUCCCAGGACCCCGGGAUCAUGACCUGAGCCGAAGGCAGACGCUUGACGACUGAGCCACCCAGAGUGAGAGCAUCAGCAGUGUGAUGUGGAAAAAUGGUGCCACUGGAGAGUUUUACACUCCCUGAAGCAUAUCUCACCAAGUUCUGGGGGUGGAACAAUGUCAAGAAAGGAGCUGGGGAGGAAAACAUUUUGGUGAGGAUGACAGAACUAGAGGUGAGUAGUUGUGAAGCUUUCUGAAAUCUGUUGCUUUUUAGAAAAGACAUGUGGGGCGCCUGGGUGGCUCAGUCGUUGAGCGUCUGCCUUCGGCUCAGGUCAUGAUCCCCGGGUCCUGGGAUCGAGCCCCGCAUUGGGCUCCCUGCUCAGCAGGGAGUCUGCUUCUCCCUCUGCCUGCUCUGCCUGCCACUCCCCCUGCUUGUGCUCUCUUUCUGACAAAUAAAUAAAUAAAAUCUUUAAAAAAAAAAAAGAUUAGGGGCGCCUGGGUGGCUCAGUCAUUGAGCGUCUGCCUUUGGCUCAGGUCAUGAUCCCAAGGUCCUGGGAUCAAGCCCUGGCCAUCGGGCUCCCUGCUCGGCGGGAAGCCUGCUUCUCCCUCUCCCACUCCCCCUGCUUGUGUUCCUGCUCUCGCUAUCUCUCUCUCUGUCAAAUAAAUAAAUAAAAUCUUUAAAAAAAAAAAAAGACAAGACAUGGACAGAGGGUCCAGGUGCAGUUGCCGUGGGACAUCCUAAGCGGGGUUCACCAGGGUCCACCAGAGGAGCAGAAACCAUUUAAUUAACUUCCGAAGGAUCUCUGAGCUUCACCAGCUGGGCAGAAGCUGUGAUUGGGCCGUUGUGUGGGCUGGCAGGCCCUGGUGUUUACAGAUUUGGUGAUUCCCCUUUAAUUACAGUGUUGAGUAGUUGCUUUAAACACCAGAUGCUUUGCAUUGCAUUUCUUCCAGCUGCCUGGCCAGGGAAUGUGACCUGGUCCUUGGUUUGUGCUUCUUGUUACUGACUCUGGCAACAUAGCAUGAGUUUUAUACACCCCCCGCCCCCCCCCACUUGUAUAUGUAUAUUUAUAUAUUUUUAUAAACAAUUAUGUAUUAAUUAUAUAUUAGCUAUUAUUUUAAAAUAAUUAUAUAUUAGUUAUAUAUAUUAUACAUACAUACAGAGCUGUUUAAAAAUGAUUAAUCGUAUUAAACCUCUUCUCAUCUCUGAUAAGCCAUUUCUUUGCAUGUUUUUGAUCCUUGCUACACAAAAUGGGGCCAGCAGACAGCAUCAUCAGUACAACCUGGGAGUUUGUAAGAAAGUAGAACCUCAGGCCCUGCACACAGGCUCUGAGUCAGAAUCUGCAUUUUCACAAAAUCCCCAGGUGUUUUGUGUUCAAAUAAGGAUCAACAUCCCUGGAGCAGAGACAGUGCAGUAGGCACUAUUCUGAGGGCUUUAUGGGAUCAACCUGCUUACUCCUCACUGCAUCCUGAUGAGGAACAAAUGAAAUCCUGAGAAGCAGGGACCCAUGGGGGAUACCAUAUGGCCCUGCCCCACUCCCAUCUGCCUCCAGAGCAUGGAUCUUCACCCCAUACUCUAGACCUGGCCCCUUUGUGCACCAACACCUGAUUCAUGAAAGAUCUAAUAGUCCUUGAAAUGUUAUUUAUGGGAACUGUUUAGUUUAGGAUUCUGUAAAAUUAUUAUCCAUGGACUUGUUACUAUUGUAAUUCUUGCCAGUAUAAAAUGAUGAUGAUAACAAUGAUGAUGGUGGUGAUGAUAUUUACUCCAAGCUUUUAGUUUUCUAGCUCUUUGAAGAGCAAGACUGUGAUUUUGGUACUGCCCUACUCUUAGAAAUGCUACAAGCUCUGACUUAGGUUUGGUAUUAUUUCUUGUCUGUUUGGUAGAGAAAUGAUUUCUCCAAGUUCUAGAUGUAGUACUCUUUCUCAAAGUUUCUAGGAUGGAUAGCAUCAAAACUAAAGGCCCAUUCCUUGUUUUCCUCUUUGCAGUAUUACAUGGAAAUAACCAAGGCCCAUUCUGAGAAUGGGACCAUAGCUUUAGAAAGAACUAAAAAUAUUGAUUUCUUCUCCUUAACCUCAAGUUCAUAUAUUCUCCCUUCUUCAAAGAGCAGUAGGAGUAUCACAUGUUUCUGUCAGGGAUGAUUAGGGAAGUUCAUUUCCCCUGUUAAAGGCAUUACAUUUAUAUCCUAUCACUCAAGGCAAUCCCUGUAUUAUAUAUACAGAAUCUUUCAUUUCUGAACCUAUUGGUAACACAUGUCUUAUUACUGGAGUAGAAAAUGGAAAGACUGUAGAAUUUUCUCAGUUCUUCAAGCUGUGGGUGUGGUUCAUUUAUCAUUGUGAAAUCAAUUUUGUCCUAAACAGCAUUUAAAAAGGAAGAAAUGGAACACAGACUAGAAAAUGUAGAAGUACACCAUGUAUUCAUUUGCUAGGGUUGCUAUAACAAAGUACCACAGAAUGAGUGGGUGGCUUAACAACAGAAAUUUUUUUUUUUUUUUUAACAACAGAAAUUUAUGAUCUUAUAGUUUUGGAGACUAGAAGUCUGGGAUCAAGGUGUUGGCAGGGUUUUCCAUGAAACUUUAAACAUCCAUGGGUGUGUGUGUGUUUAUAUGGGUUUCAGUGUUAAAGUAUAUUUCCUAUUAUAUAGGUCAGGUAAAACAUGUUGGAAAAACACAGACUUGCUGAUUUGUUGGUAGGAUGCCCUGCCUUACCCUUCCUUCUUGGGAUGGAGCAGAUUCAUCUUCUAGAUCCACUGUAGGAUCUGGAAGACUAUGAGGAAGGGCAUGAAUGGAUUAUGAGAUAGGUUCUUCUUGCACAUCUUAUACUCCUUCAGAUGACUAUUGUCGGUUUGCUUUUGGUUUUUAGUAAUAUCCAGAUUGUUGGUAGCUCCCAGAGGUUGUAGGACUGAGGUUCCCUUUCCUUGCUGGUCAUCAGCCUGGGACACUCUUAACUCCUAUAAGUUGCUUUUGGGUCCUUGCCACAUGGCCCUCUGCAUCUCAGCAAACCAGAACCUCUUCUCAUAAAUCCCCCACUCUGAUUUCCCCUUCUGCUACUACCUGUAGAAAAAUCUCUGCUUUUGAAAAAGCAUGUGAUUAGUUGAGGCCCACCUGGGAAGUCUCCCUUUUGAUGAACUCAGAGUUAACUAGUUAGUAACCUUAAUUACAUGUGCACACUCCCAUUUGCCAUGUGAAGUAAAAACCAUGUGCUGGUUUUAUCAUGUUCACUGUCCUGGGGAUUUCAGUGAGAAGUUCUGGGGCCAUUUUAGAUAUCCCCAGCAUAGGCCCAGAUCCUGCAAGUUUAUCAGUAAACUUAUAUUUGGUCAGGAGAGAUGCAAACUUAUAUUUGGUCAGGAGAGAUGCCAUUGUGUCCAGGGGAGAAGAUCAUAUAUAUGCCUUUAGCAUUUUUUUUCCUUUGCCCCAUUUGUCUGUAACUUGGCAAACUUAUUUCAGUGGCUCUUUUCCUUCUUCCUUCUUGAGUGAUGCUCUAUACCUCAUUCCAUGAACUCUCUUUGAACCAGUUUUGCUGUCCUGCUGGACCUGUCACUGUUGGGUAGAUAAAGCUCUGACACAUGUCCGUUCUAUAUUUGUAUGGAGUCAUGGGUUUAGCUUUUUGACAAAGGCAAUUCAGUUAUCUGGGAGGCCUGGCCUUGUAGCUUCUGAGACUUUCAAUAUUCUUUUUUUCUUGCCAUAAACCUUUUACUGACUGAGUUCACCCAUAGCUCUGCCUUUGAAUGAAAAGGUAUAAAAAUUCACCUUGUGCAUGGCUUUCUAUCAUUAAAAGUUUGCAUGGUGACUGGCAUCUUAAAAAGGAACUUUGAUGGAAAGCGCUCUGCCAUGUGUGGGAUAUUUUACAGAGAAAGUGAUGGAAAAGUUGAGCAAAGGGAAAAAGAACAGAUACACAUCACACAACUAUGGCUUGAGCAUCUUUCUCUCUGGGCUAGGUUGUUGAAAAGAGAUGGCAAGACUGGGCCAAUGCCUGGACUUACUGAUUAUGGGACUGACCAUGGACAAUUGCCAGACCUAAGACAGAGCUUUCUUUACCUGCAAAGCCAGAGGAAUGCCACCUCCUGCCCCACCUUGGCAUGCAGCCCAAUCUCAGGUCCAAAGCAGACCCUAUGAGGUAGCAGGUAAAUCAAUCUUGCUCUGGGAUAUGGUGAUCCAACAACACCCCCAACCCACCAUUUGUCUUUGGCCUUUGUCACCAACUACAUCAGAGAUCUAGAGUGCCCAGGUUGAUUCUGUGGUUUCCACUGUCCUUUGAGACCCAUCUUUCCUGACUGCUGUGAGGGUCUACUUUGGAAUGUCCCUGAAAUUGAGGUGGAAUCUACAGUUCUGAUCACCAAUUCUGAUGUGGGGCAGGGAUUUUCCCUACACCAUCAAGCAAUUCUUUGACAUUAGCUGGCUGUCCUAUGAUUUAACCCAGUUCUGACAUUAUCUACCUGGAGAGAGCAUCAGAUCUCACAAGUUAAAGGCUCGGUUCUAUAACACUGCUCCUAACUUAGAUGACAAUUGCAGGUCCAGAUUAUCACCUGUGCUUCUGACUGAUCCACUAUAAAUCAGAGGUUCCCAUGACCCUCUCCUUGGGUUUGAUUAAUUUGCUGGAGUGGCUCACAGAACUUAGAGAAACA